GGGAAUGUGGCUUAGUGGUAGAGUGCUUGCCUAGCAUGCAUGAAGUCCUUGGUUCGAUUCCUCAGUACCA
Molecule: transfer RNA, 70 nt
Filed under: Dipodomys ordii (Ord's kangaroo rat)
Lineage: Eukaryota; Metazoa; Chordata; Mammalia; Rodentia; Heteromyidae
Rfam family: tRNA
About the family: Transfer RNA (tRNA) molecules are approximately 80 nucleotides in length. Their secondary structure includes four short double-helical elements and three loops (D, anti-codon, and T loops). Further hydrogen bonds mediate the characteristic L-shaped molecular structure. tRNAs have two regions of fundamental functional importance: the anti-codon, which is responsible for specific mRNA codon recognition, and the 3' end, to which the tRNAs corresponding amino acid is attached (by aminoacyl-tRNA synthetases). tRNAs cope with the degeneracy of the genetic code in two manners: having more than one tRNA (with a specific anti-codon) for a particular amino acid; and 'wobble' base-pairing, i.e. permitting non-standard base-pairing at the 3rd anti-codon position.
Source: Rfam by way of RNAcentral